UGUGUAUCUGUGUUUGUAUGUGCCAGUGUGUGUAUCACACCUUGACACACAGAUACACACACCGGCACAUACACACACAGAUGCACACA
Non-coding RNA from Pelobates cultripes (western spadefoot toad), 89 nucleotides. The record is from the annotation of a GenBank genome assembly. Lineage: Eukaryota; Metazoa; Chordata; Amphibia; Anura; Pelobatidae.